GACGUAGGGGGCCAGCGUUGCUCGGAAUUACUGGGCGUAAAGGGUUCGUAGGCGGUGUGGCAAGUCGGUAGUGAAAUCUCCAGGCUUAACUUGGAGGCUGCUGCCGAAACUGCCGUGCUAGAGUGCGGGAGAGGCCAGUGGAAUUGCAGGUGUAGCGGUGAAAUGCGUAGAUAUCUGCAGGAACACCCGUGGCGAAGGCGGCUGGCUGGACCGUUACUGACGCUGAGGAACGAAAGCUAGGGGAG
This 245-nucleotide ribosomal RNA is filed under the name uncultured bacterium. RNAcentral describes it as "partial 16S ribosomal RNA". It matches the Rfam family "Bacterial small subunit ribosomal RNA", at positions 524 to 768 of the family's 1533-position model. The record is from RNAcentral.